UACGAAGGGGGCUAGCGUUGCUCGGAAUCACUGGGCGUAAAGGGCGCGUAGGCGGCCAGCACAAGUCGGUUGUGAAAUCUCCGGGCUUAACUCGGAAAGGUCAACCGAUACUGUGCGGCUAGAGUGCGGCAGAGGGGGAUGGAAUUCCGCGUGUAGCAGUGAAAUGCGUAGAUAUGCGGAGGAACACCGAUGGCGAAGGCAAUCCCCUGGGCCUGCACUGACGCUCAUGCACGAAAGCGUGGGGAGCAAACAGG
This 254-nucleotide ribosomal RNA is filed under the name uncultured bacterium. RNAcentral's name for it is "partial 16S ribosomal RNA". It matches the Rfam family "Bacterial small subunit ribosomal RNA", at positions 524 to 776 of the family's 1533-position model. The record is from RNAcentral.